RNAcentral lists this ribosomal RNA (439 nucleotides) under uncultured bacterium. RNAcentral's name for it is "partial 16S ribosomal RNA". It matches the Rfam family "Bacterial small subunit ribosomal RNA", at positions 339 to 795 of the family's 1533-position model. The record is from RNAcentral.
CUACGGGGUGCUCCGGUGGGGAAUAUUGCACAAUGGAGGAAACUCUGAUGCAGCAACGCCGCGUGGAGGAUGACACUUUUCGGAGCGUAAACUCCUUUUAUAUAGGAAGAAGAUGACGGUACUAUAUGAAUAAGCGCCGGCUAACUCCGUGCCAGCAGCCGCGGUAAUACGGAGGGCGCAAGCGUUACUCGGAAUCACUGGGCGUAAAGAGCGUGUAGGCGGAUUAAAAAGUCAGAAGUGAAAUCCUAUAGCUUAACUAUAGAACUGCUUCUGAAACUCUUAAUCUAGAAUGUGGGAGAGGUAGAUGGAAUUUCUGGUGUAGGGGUAAAAUCCGUAGAGAUCAGAAGGAAUACCGAUUGCGAAGGCGAUCUACUAGAACAUUAUUGACGCUGAGACGCGAAAGCGUGUGGAGCAAACAGGAUUAGAUACCCGUGUAGUC